This 218-nucleotide ribosomal RNA is filed under the name uncultured bacterium. RNAcentral describes it as "partial 16S ribosomal RNA". It matches the Rfam family "Bacterial small subunit ribosomal RNA", at positions 28 to 248 of the family's 1533-position model. The record is from RNAcentral.
GACGAACGCUGGCGGCGUGCUUAACACAUGCAAGUCGAGCGGUAAGGCCCUUUCGGGGUACACGAGCGGCGAACGGGUGAGUAACACGUGGGUGACCUGCCCUCAGCUCUGGGAUAAGCCUGGGAAACUGGGUCUAAUACUGGAUAUGACUCCACGGUGCAUGUCGUGGGGUGGAAAGCCUUGUGCGGCUGAGGAUGGGCCCGCGGCCUAUCAGCUUG